Molecule: non-coding RNA, 1594 nt
Organism: Ictidomys tridecemlineatus (thirteen-lined ground squirrel)
Lineage: Eukaryota; Metazoa; Chordata; Mammalia; Rodentia; Sciuridae
Source: RefSeq, a predicted model, not a curated record
GGUCCAGAGCAGAGAUGACUGGGAUAUACAUCUGAAGAGACUUCAAAGUCGUACCAGCCAAUCAGAAGACUUCUCAGGAGUAGCUCCAGGAAGAAAUCCAGGCAGUGAAAAGAACCAUCAUCAGAGAACUCUGGUAUCAGGCAGGAGCAGAUAUUCAAACGCAGUAUUGGCUAAAUGACUGCUUCUACAAACCAUCUGCUUCUGAAUCUCCAGGAGGCAAGAGAAAAGACUGUGGACUCGCCUUGAUGUGAACAACUGGAGUUAUGGAAUUGCCAGUAGAAAAGGAAAAUUAUGCACAAGCAAGUUUGGGGGCACAUCUCCGUUUUCUCUCCAGCAUCCAAGUGGAGAUACUGAGUAAGCUCCCAGAAAGAUAAGACUGGAUUUCAGAAAAGCAGUCUGCAAACUUUAAAAUUUAGAGGUCAAGAAUAAAAGAAAGAACCAUCCAAGGAGAUAGAUGGGAGAACCUUCAGAGUUUUGGAGAAAAAUCAGAAGACUGUGGUGUCCUGGCAGCCAUGUGAGUGAAAAACAUCAAAGAGAAGGGAGAAAUCAACUGCGACAGAUGCUGCAGAAAAGUCACAUAAAUAAUGACAGAGAAUUAAUCAUCGGCUUUAGUAACACAGCUGCCAUGGGUGAUUUUGACAGUUUCCAUGCAGUGAUGAGGGCAAAAGGUAAGAGUCAGGAAGUAGCCAAGAAUGCCAGCUGCAGAGACAGAAAUUAGAUGGGACAUUGUCCUGAAAGGUAGAGGAUUCAAAAGACAUAGCAUCUAGCAUCUUAAGACUCUGACUCAUCUGUGUUCAUAAUCUUAAGACAUAUCCUUCCCCCAUACACAGAGCCACUAUCUGAGGGAGAUGACUGGGGAAUUCUGAGGUCAUUUGAUAAACUGAGCACUAGUUGUGUUUUGUGGGUUGUUUUUUCUUUUAUAAUUUUUGCCAAAAGAGACUGAAUACUGAAUAAAGCCUUUGUUUAAAUUAGCACAGUGGACUAAGCUUUCAACCAAAGUUAACAGUUUUUCUUCUUAUCAGCAGGGGUACAGAAAAAACAAAUCAACUAUAUAAAAUAAAACUAAAGGAGCCACAUUGUAUCUUCAUAUUGGAUUUGUUGCCUGUGUUAAGUUUCUGACCUACAUGGGGGUGGAAUUUCCAAUAUAUUUUCACUAAUAAGCUUUCCAUAUCAUAUUCAGAGCUUAUAGCUGAAAAGUUUUUCAAGCAGAUCUGAUCUUUUCCUUGCAAUUAUUUUGGCAACUCUAAAGCUAUCUCUUACUAUUGAUAUAUGAAAUUGAAUAUUUCCAGAUGAAAUCCUAAAGGGUGAAUUCAGAAUGUUAAGUUUGAAAAUGAAUUUUAUCUGAAAAGUAUAGAGAUAGUAGAAACAGGGUAAAAAUUGGAAAACUCAAAAAUGAGAAACAAAAAAAUGCAAGAUGUACUUGAUUGGCAGUGGAUGAUACAGACCUAGAGAACUACUGAACAUGCAGGUAAAUACACAUGAUAUUUUUUUACCUGCUUCAGAUAUUUGUAUGUAUAUUUCAAUUCUAUUUAAUAAGGCAUAUAUCUCACAAUAUUACAGAAAGUAAAUAAAGAAUUAAUAACAAGCACUGAAA